This 1367-nucleotide ribosomal RNA is filed under the name metagenome. RNAcentral describes it as "bacterial LSU rRNA". It matches the Rfam family "Bacterial large subunit ribosomal RNA", at positions 1539 to 2925 of the family's 2925-position model. The record is from RNAcentral.
AAUCCGUUCAUCAAUCCGAAGACGUGAUGCGGACCGAAUUAAGAGUAGGGAAGUGUGUGAGCCAUGCGUCAAGAAAAGCCGCUAUUGUUUUACUUAAGCCCGUACCGUAAACCGACACAGGUGGAUGAGGAGAGAAUCCUAAGGCCGACGGGAGAAGCAUUGUUAAGGAACUCGGCAAAAUGACUCCGUAACUUCGGGAGAAGGAGUGCCAGCGAGAGCUGGCCGCAGAGAAUUGGCCCAAGCAACUGUUUAGCAAAAACACAGGUCUAUGCAAAACCGUAAGGUGAAGUAUAUGGGCUGACGCCUGCCCGGUGCUGGAAGGUUAAGAGGAGAGGUUAGCGGCAACGCGAAGCUUUGAAUUUAAGCCCCAGUAAACGGCGGCCGUAACAAUAACGGUCCUAAGGUAGCGAAAUUCCUUGUCGGGUAAGUUCCGACCCGCACGAAAGGCGUAAUGAUUUGGGCACUGUCUCAACAAUGCACCCGGUGAAAUUGAAAUACCAGUGAAGAUGCUGGUUACCUGCGCCAGGACGGAAAGACCCCAUGGAGCUUUACUCCAGCUUGAUACUGGGAUUCGGUAUUGCAUGUACAGGAUAGGUGGGAGGCUAGGAAGUGAUAACGCCAGUUGUCACGGAGCCGCUGUUGGGAUACCACCCUUGCAGUAUUGGAUUUCUAACCAGCGACCAUGAACUGGUCGGGGGACAAUGUCAGGUGGGGAGUUUGACUGGGGCGGUCGCCUCCGAAAGGGUAUCGGAGGCGCUCAAAGGUUCCCUCAGAAUGGACGGAAACCAUUCGAAGAGUGCAAAGGCAGAAGGGAGCUUGACUGCGACACCGACGGGUGGAGCAGGUACGAAAGUAGGACUUAGUGAUCCGGUGGUAUAAAGUGGGAUUGCCAUCGCUCAACGGAUAAAAGCUACCCUGGGAUAACAGGCUUAUCACUCCCAAGAGUUCACAUCGACGGAGUGGUUUGGCACCUCGAUGUCGGCUCAUCGCAUCCUGGGGCUGAAGUAGGUCCCAAGGGUUGGGCUGUUCGCCCAUUAAAGCGGUACGCGAGCUGGGUUCAGAACGUCGUGAGACAGUUCGGUCCCUAUCCGGCGUGGGCGUAGGAUAUUUGAGAGGAGCUGUCCUUAGUACGAGAGGACCGGGAUGGACUGGCCGCUGGUGUAUCUGUUGCAUACCAAGUGCAUGGCAGAGUAGCCAAGCCGGGACGGGAUAAACGCUGAAGGCAUCUAAGCGUGAAGCCCCCCUCAAGAUGAGAUAUCCCUACGUAAGUAGUAAGACCCCUUGAAGACGACGAGGUAGAUAGGUCAGAGGUGGAAGUACAGUAAUGUAUGGAGCUGACUGAUACUAAUCGGUCGAGGGCAUGACCA